CAGANCCUUACCAACACUUGACAUGUUCGUCGUGACUCUAAGAGAUUGGAGUCUUCGGUUCGGCCGGACGAAACACAGGUGCUGCAUGGCUGUCGUCGGCUCGUGUCGUGAGAUGUUGGGUUAAGUCCCGCAACGAGCGCAACCCUCACUUUUAGUUGCCAUCAUUUAGUUGGGCACUCUGAAAGAACUGCCAGUGAUAAGCUGGAGGAAGGUGGGGAUGACGUCAAGUCCUCAUGGCCCUUAUGUGUUGGGCUACACACGUGCUACAAGGCAUUGACAAUAGGAAGCAAGAUGGCGACGUCAAGCAAAUCCUAAAAAGAUGCCUCAGUUCGGAUUGUACUCUGCAACUCGAGUACAUGAAGCUGGAAUUACUAGUAAUCGCGGAUCAGCGCGCCGCGGUGAAUACGUUCCCAGGUCUUGUACACACCGCCCGUCACACCAUGGGAGUUGGUUCUACCUUAAGGCAAAGCUUAAAACCUUUGAUCACGGUAUAAUCAGCGACUGGGGUGAAGUCGUAACAAGGUA
This 525-nucleotide ribosomal RNA is filed under the name uncultured marine bacterium. RNAcentral's name for it is "bacterial SSU rRNA". It matches the Rfam family "Bacterial small subunit ribosomal RNA", at positions 964 to 1498 of the family's 1533-position model. The record is from RNAcentral.